This 1020-nucleotide long non-coding RNA is filed under the name Phoenix dactylifera (date palm). Its description in RNAcentral is "long non-coding RNA (PDAC_LNC002508)". Lineage: Eukaryota; Viridiplantae; Streptophyta; Magnoliopsida; Arecales; Arecaceae. The record is from RNAcentral.
GUGUGCUUUCAAGCCAAGUAUUUUACUAAUCAAGUAUGCUCAGAUGCCAGCAAAGGAAAAUUAGUUAUAGACACCGUUGUAUCUUAAUCCAUCUUAAUCUAAAUCCACUACUCCCGUGAUCUCUCCGUUAUUUUAUGUGUUGGAGGUAUUCGAGAUCUAUGCGGUUGGAUGACUGGCUUACUUGAUGAUUUGUGCGAAGCGUGAUCUAGUGAUCCACCUUGCAAAAGAAGAUCAAUCAUUGCGAAAGAUACAAACCUGGACCCUCGGCCAAUGCCCCACUCUCACUCCUAUCCUUUCCGUAAAGCUAACAACCGACAGAAUUUCUGGACACGGAUUCGCAACUAAAUCACAAGUUUACCACCCCGCCGCCCGCGUUAAUUCCCAUCCCGUCAUUCUCUCCAGGGGAAAUUAUGAAAAUGGUAAAGUGGAAGGAAAGAAAUUAAACGAAUUAAAAUAUUCAGAUUCUAACAUUGGAUGAACUUUCCUAUAAUUUUCAUGUAUCUAUGGGAUCAUUCCGGAGAACAUUUGAAGUUCCUUCACAAAUCACAACAAAUCAAAGUAGGUUAUAAAUGAUCGAGCCAAACUAACCAAUUAGACCACCAGACCUAUAAUGAUAACCAAAUCGGCCGACCAAUAAUAAUGAGCCAUGUGUCUCUUAUUCAAAAUGCACUAAAGAUGCUUAAAGUUUAUUAAGAAGGAUGAUUAGAUGCCAAGAUACGUUGCAAGAUAGUUACAUCUUGUCCCGCAUGUUUAGACAAUUAUUGCACGAUUCGAUGAUUUCAACAUGCUUGCUCUUUUCGGGCAACAACUUAAUGCCCAAACUUCUAUAUACGUAGGAUCUAGAGGGCAUCAAAGUACAUAUAUUGAUAUCUACUCCACUCUACAUAGCACACAUUCUUAAAUCUUCAUCGUUCUAUCAAGGUUCUGCCUGACUUACGCAUUAAAGAGCCUUCAUUAGGUUAACUCCGGCAACCUUUAAUAUUUCUCUUUUCUAUUUGUAUGUAAAAUUCUCCACUUCAA